CAAAGGAAGCGAUUCCGGCAACGGAUGGGCAUGCGUGACAUUAGCUAGUUGGCGGGGCAACGGCCCACCAAGGCGACGAUGUCUAGGGGUUCUGAGAGGAAGGUCCCCCACACUGGUACUGAGACACGGACCAGACUCCUACGGGAGGCAGCAGUGAGGAAUAUUGGUCAAUGGGCGCGAGCCUGAACCAGCCAAGUCGCGUGAGGGAUGACGGCCCUACGGGUUGUAAACCUCCUUUGUCGGGGAGCAAAUUCCGCCACGUGUGGCGGAGUCGAGAGUACCCGAAGAAAAAGCAUCGGCUAACUCCGUGCCAGCAGCCGCGGUAAUACGGAGGAUGCGAGCGUUAUCCGGAUUUAUUGGGUUUAAAGGGUGCGUAGGCGGACUGUCAAGUCAGCGGUAAAAUACGGGGGCUCAACCUCCGCCCGCCGUUGAAACUGACGGUCUUGAGUGGGCGAGAAGUAUGCGGAAUGCGUGGUGUAGCGGUGAAAUGCAUAGAUAUCACGCAGAACUCCGAUUGCGAAGGCAGCAUACCGGCGCCCAACUGACGCUGAAGCACGAAAGCGUGGGUAUCGAACAGGAUUAGAUACCCUGGUAGUCCACGCAGUAAACGAUGAAUACUAGCUGUCCGGGGCGAAUGAGCCCUGG
Molecule: ribosomal RNA, 645 nt
Filed under: uncultured bacterium
Lineage: Bacteria
Description: bacterial SSU rRNA
Rfam family: Bacterial small subunit ribosomal RNA
Source: RNAcentral